Molecule: long non-coding RNA, 1005 nt
Filed under: Gallus gallus (chicken)
Lineage: Eukaryota; Metazoa; Chordata; Aves; Galliformes; Phasianidae
Source: RNAcentral
CGCGCGCCCUGCGAGCGUGGAGGAGAAAGUUAGGCGGGGGAGUUUGUGCGGUCCGACAUUUUGGCUUUGCCUGUCCUGCAUUGAGGGAAGGAGAAUUGUCCGAAUCCGCACAUCAAAUAUGUAGUCAAUGUGCAUAAGUAACAAAAGAUUUAUUUUUUUAUUUUUAAAUUAAAGCAUAAAAGAAAGAGGGCUACAAAAACACGAAACUAGCAGGAUGAGGUUUAAAAUCCUAUCUCCCUUUGCCUUCUGCUUCUAGCUCUGCUUGAGUUGCCCUAGAUCUUUGCAGAACUGUUAAGCCCUCAGUGCUAGGGAACAAGGAGCCUACCAAAUCCCUCUGGUGUGUGCUGAGGCUCACUGAGGUGCCUGGCAGGUGCUGCUGAGGCGCGUGCUGCUGUCCAGCAUAAGGACAGUUGCACAGCACACUGUCUGAGGGCAGCUGCCUUGCAAAGUGGCGGAGGGUAUGGCGAAAGUGGCAUGGCGGAACGAAGUACCAGGCCACACUGGAGCAGGAACUUCGAGGGAAGCCUGAAAGGACGAGCUGUGGAAACAAAGCUUGUUUCUCUGAAAAUGAUGUAUGAUUGAACAGAGACAAAUUAGAAGAGUAUGCAGAGAAAGAAGUCUGGGAAGGGGAGGUUAAAAGGAAAUCAUACGCCCUUUACCACCCCAAUUUGCUCCUCCUGGAAACAUUCUCAGUGAUAGUCUGCAUAGUAGAAGCCUAACAGUUGGAAGCAGAUAAAAAAUAAGGAUGGACAAUGUGUUGUAUAGUGAGCAACAGAAACAAUGGCAAAAUUCAGUCUCAAGGUCCAGUGAAUGGCUGCAUACUUCAAAGACUCUGGGAAUUUCAGACAACAACCAAGUACGUUCUAGUUGCUGUCCAACAACUUUGAGUAUGGAUCUAUGGAAUCAGGGAAGACAAAAACAUUAUCAGGAAUUUCUUCAGAAAACAAGCUUUGGAAUGGUUCCCACUGGCAACUGCAAGGCACUACAGCAGCUUUUGUAUUUACG